RNAcentral lists this non-coding RNA (112 nucleotides) under Anaerolineae bacterium. RNAcentral's name for it is "TPP sequence". It matches the Rfam family "TPP riboswitch aptamer (THI element)". Rfam says of the family: Vitamin B(1) in its active form thiamin pyrophosphate (TPP) is an essential coenzyme that is synthesised by coupling of pyrimidine and thiazole moieties in bacteria. Lineage: Bacteria; Bacillati; Chloroflexota; Anaerolineae. The record is from RNAcentral.
GCACCUCGCUGGGGGAGCCCGGCAUGGCCGGCUGAGAGGAUUGGCGUGGAGCCAUCGACCCCUCUGACCUGACCUAGAUAAUGCUAGCGUAGGGAAGCGAAUCGCGCACAAG